CUGCUGGUAAAGGUCAUUACGUAUUACUUUACUUACCGGAGGAAAAGAAACCAACAGGGAUUGCCCUAGUAACGGCGAGUGAAGCGGCAACAGCUCAAAUUUGAAAUCUGGCCUUCGGGUCCGAGUUGUAAUUUGUAGAGGAUGCUUUUGGUGCGGUGCCUUCCGAGUUCCCUGGAACGGGACGCCAUAGAGGGUGAGAGCCCCGUCUGGUUGGAUACCAAUCCUCUGUAAAGCUCCUUCGACGAGUCGAGUAGUUUGGGAAUGCUGCUCUAAAUGGGAGGUAUAUGUCUUCUAAAGCUAAAUACCGGCCAGAGACCGAUAGCGCACAAGUAGAGUGAUCGAAAGAUGAAAAGCACUUUGAAAAGAGGGUUAAACAGUACGUGAAAUUGUUGAAAGGGAAGCGCUUGUGACCAGACUUGGGCAUGGUUAAUCAUCCAGCGUUCUCGCUGGUGCACUUGGCCUGCCCAGGCCAGCAUCAGUUCGGUGCGGGGGAUAAAGGCUUCGGGAAUGUGGCUCCUCCGGGAGUGUUAUAGCCCGUUGUGCAAUACCCUGCGCUGGACUGAGGUUCGCGCAUCUGCAUGGAUGCUGGCGUAAUGGUCAUUAGCGACCCGUCUUGAAACACGGACCAAGGAGUCGUCCUCGUAUGCGAGUGUUCGGGUGUUAAACCCCUACGCGUAAUGAAAGUGAACGCAGGUGAGAGCUUCGGCGCAUCAUCGACCGAUCCUGAUGUUCUCGGAUGGAUUUGAGUAAGAGCAUACGGGGCCGGACCCGAAAGAAGGUGAACUAUGCCUGUAUAGGGUGAAGCCAGAGGAAACUCUGGUGGAGGCUCGCAGCGGUUCUGACGUGCAAAUCGAUCGUCAAAUAUGGGCAUGGGGGCGAAAGACUAAUCGAACCUUCUAGUAGCUGGUUUCCGCCGAAGUUUCCCUCAGGAUAGCAGUGUUGAACUCAGUUUUAUGAGGUAAAGCGAAUGAUUAGGGACUCGGGGG
RNAcentral lists this ribosomal RNA (986 nucleotides) under Microthecium fallax. Its description in RNAcentral is "LSU rRNA". It matches the Rfam family "Eukaryotic large subunit ribosomal RNA", at positions 1 to 1035 of the family's 3401-position model. The record is from RNAcentral. Lineage: Eukaryota; Fungi; Ascomycota; Sordariomycetes; Coronophorales; Ceratostomataceae.